Molecule: long non-coding RNA, 3150 nt
Filed under: Bos grunniens (domestic yak)
Lineage: Eukaryota; Metazoa; Chordata; Mammalia; Artiodactyla; Bovidae
Description: lncRNA (ENSBGRG00000009731.1)
Source: RNAcentral
UCAUCUUCCAGGAGGGUCUCUGCUGCCUGGGAAACAGCCCUUGCCUCAGGCCUCCCAUCCUGCAGUGUGGCCGCAGGGGUCACAGAGGGUCAUUGACUGUCUUCUGGGUCAUCGUGGCUGGGGUGGCUGAGUCCCGCUGGCUAAGAGGGGGCUCCGCCAGCAGCGGGAGAGGCUGAGGAGCAGCCCCGAGGCCCUCACAGUGCCCUGGGGAUGCCGAGAGGGUGGUGUGCCACUGGGGAGGGGCGGCAAGGCGCAGGCACAGGGAGGGAGGCGGGCCUUCCCGCUGUUGGUCAGGAGCCGGGCGCCUUGGUAGCAAUUGAACAGAGACAUGAAGAGAUGAGGCCAGGAGACACCUGGGGAAGGCUUUCUGGGCAGAGGGAGCAGCUGGUGUGAGGGUCCUGGGCCUGUGGCAAGGGUGGGUGGGGUGGGCAGGACGGGCUUUGAGGGAAGGGUCACUGGUUUGACUCAUGCUUAAGGGGCUCUCUGGCUCUUGGAGCGAGGGAAACUUUAGGGUGGGAGCUGGGAACUACAUUAGCAGCUGUUACUGUGCUCCUGGCAAGAGAAGGCAGAUAGGACUGGGCCAGUGGGUGGGGGGUGAAUGGAUUAGAGGUAGUGGGCUUGAGUAGUAGGGGUCUGUUUUGAAGCUGGAACCAUCUGGAUUUAGACAAGAAGGGAGGACGGUGCAGGGCUGCCCUGUGCCUUGGCAUCCCCAUCUGUACAGGGUUGUGACCCUGCCCCACGUCAUGGACACCAAGAAUGGUUGUAGGCCAACAAAUGGUCACUGUUGUUAUGUUAAAAUGCCCUCACACCCUCCUGAAAUGUAGUCUUCACAUCUGUGCACAGACUUCUUUUUCUCUUCCUUGCAGCCUUUGCCAUCUUGGUUGGGAGGUGUUUGGUGCUUGUUUGGAAGGUGCUCAGUUGGGAGGUGUCUGGUGUGGUUGGAAUGUGCUCAAUUGGGAGGUGCUUAGUGCUUAGUUGGGAGGUGCUGGUGCUUAUUUGGGAAGUGCUCAGUUGGGAGGUGCUUGGUGCUUGGUUGAGAAGUGCUUGUUGCUCAGUUGGGAGGUGUUUGGUGCUUGUUUGGAAGGUGCUCAGUUGGGAGGUGUCUGGUGUGGUUGGAAUGUGCUCAAUUGGGAGGUGCUUAGUGCUUAGUUGGGAGGUGCUGGUGCUUAUUUGGGAAGUGCUCAGUUGGGAGGUGCUUGGUGCUUGGUUGAGAAGUGCUUGUUGCUCAGUUGGGAGGUAUCUGUGUGGUUGGAAGGUUCUCAAUUGGGAGGUGCUAGUGCUUGGUUGGGAAGUACUCAGGAGGUACUUGGUGCUUGGUUGGGUGAUGCUUGGUGCUGUUGGAGGUGCUUGGUGGUUAGUUGGGAGGUACUGGGUGCUUGUUUUGGAUAUGCUUGGUACUCAGUUGAGAGGUAUUGGUGCUUGGUUAGGAGGUGCUUGGUAUUUGAGAAGUGCUUUGUGCUUCAUGCUCACACCCAUGCUGGCAUUUCCUGUAGCAUCCACAGGAGUUGGUCCAUCUCUGGCUCUGGCUUGUCUUAAUUGAAACCUUUCUGAUCUUGCCUUUGAAUUCUCUCCUCAGGUCCUGCUGGGAUCACACCCUGCCCCUGGGGGCAGAGUUGACUUUGUGUUGACACCUUGGGCAGGAUUUCUGAGGCCCCAGUCUCUCCCCUAAGCUCCUCCUUCCCUGGUAAUGUGUCUGAUCGUGAUGCAGCGAAAAUGAUGCUGCAAGUGUCACCCUCAGCAGGGUGAGAACCCUGCACUGUGAUCCUAGGCUGGCUGUCUAGGGUGUGGUUAAGGUCAUGAGUGCCUUCUUUGUCUUCUUAGCACCGCUGCCCAGCAGGGGAGGACUCUAGGCUGGUGCGGAGGGACCACGGGCAGCACCCCAGCCUCGCUAAACACUGGCCUGGUGGUGGCCCUUGGUGUGAGCUUGAGCUGAGUCCUGGGACAGUGGGUUUCGUUCUCCGCCCGGCCACAGACGUGAGGCUGCAGGGGGCAUCACCACCAACCGCCCCAGCCCGUGGGAGGCUCUCCCGUCUCCCUGUGUCUUCUUGUGAUGUCCUCUUCCUGCCUCACAGCUGGGCUCCCUCCUCUGCUGAAGGGAUACUGCCCCAGAUGUCAUUAGGAGGGUCCUCAGUCCUAACGUGCACCCAGGGUGCGUGUGACCAAGAGCCCCACAGGCAGAAGGGCCCGCAGACCCCGGGAUUGGACUUGGGCCAUUUCAGCAUGGCAAGAACAGGCCCAGGCCAGGCGCCUCUGCUGCCAGCAUCAGGUGCCCCUGUGGGGGCAGAGCGGCCCUCUGGCCCCGAGGCUCUGGGGCUGGAGGACAUCAACCCCGCACGGGGACGGGCGAUGGGCGCAUGCCUGUACCAGCCCACGAGGGGCUGCGGUGGCUCCUGGGUCUCCAGCUGCAGCCAGGCUGAAACCCAACCCCUCUUUAAAAUGCAAAAUAGCCCUUCCCUAAAAUAAGACCCAACCACAACCGCACCAGCUGCCCUCUGCGCAGUGCUCUGCCUCGGAAGUCGCUGCUCCUCCGUGGAGCUUGGCGGGCCUCUGGCAGUGUCCAGGCCCUGCACGAGCACGUCCGCACCGGCCGGGCUCUGGGAGCGGGGUGGCCCAUGAGUUCCCCAUUUAAGGAAACCAGCCGGCCUCUGUUAUGAAACCGGGGAAGGAAUUUGAAUUAUGCUCCUCGUGGAGGUCCUGAGCCUGCACUUUUUCCGGCCUUUCCUGCUGGCCUCUGAGGAGCCUUUGGGAGGGCACGAGUACAGGGCUCCAAGAUUUAUUCUCCUGAUACCUUCUGGGCAGCUGGGGGCCGGAGGCUGGGCUUGUUCCAGGCUGCUGGGGUGGGAAACACGCAGGAGGGAAACAUGCCUGCACCAGGCCUGCGGGAGCCUUUGCAGCUGGCCGAGGGCACCUGUGAGCCUCAGGGCCGCGAGAGGUUGACCACCGCCCAAGGCUGGCAGAGGGCAUGUGUCCCAAAGUGGACAGGCCUUGGCCCCAACGAGAAAACCACACUGUGCUCCUGGAGCCGUGAGCGCGCAACACACCUUUCAGAGCCUCAGUUUUCAUUUGUCCCGCUGGAAUAGUAAUUCCCGCUCUCCUGCAUUUUGAAUUGUGGCGAGAAGACUCUUGAGAGUCCUUUGACCACGAGGAGAU